This 65-nucleotide transfer RNA is filed under the name Sungaya inexpectata. Its description in RNAcentral is "tRNA-Thr". It matches the Rfam family "tRNA". Rfam says of the family: Transfer RNA (tRNA) molecules are approximately 80 nucleotides in length. Lineage: Eukaryota; Metazoa; Arthropoda; Insecta; Phasmatodea; Heteropterygidae. The record is from RNAcentral.
GUUUUAAUAAUUUAAUAUAAAAUAUUGGUCUUGUAAACCAAAAAUGAUAAUCCAAUCUUAAAACU